AUCAUACCGUGCUUAUUCCCGGGAAUGAAAAAAAAAAGUUAUCAAAUAAUUGCCGGGGGACGCUCUACAAAUAUGACAUUUAACACAUUACAUGAACAUUUAUUUGUAUUUCAACAUUAUGCUAUUGAAUGUUUGUUAUAAGUGUGUGGUACUACAAGUUGCCGAUUCUACCCACAUAAGCAGCAUCUUUUAGAAGUGAUGAACAAAAUCUGAAAUGGCAGAAUACUUUCACCGUGUAUUGUUGGUAUUAGUAUUCGAAGGGCCACCAUUUUGGCUUGUUAGUAUAAUCUGUGAGGAGGAGGAAGCGUAUAUGGUGUCAGGUCGUUUGAUGGUAUUUGUAUUUCAGUUGUUGCAGUAAUGGGGAAAACGGCGAAGGAAAAACACGGGAAUGAGAGGCGCAGGUCUUAUAACUAUCCAAGAAAUGCCCAAGCUCAGGCUCAGAACUCGGGUACUGAAAGUCGGAACUACAGUUAUUCUUCCGGGAAUGUACCAAGGUACAGUAAACUUUGCUAACAUGUGCAACUGGUAAAAUUUAAUGUGGUCAAAAGUGGGUAUAUAGGAAAGUUGU
Molecule: non-coding RNA, 568 nt
Organism: Zootermopsis nevadensis
Lineage: Eukaryota; Metazoa; Arthropoda; Insecta; Blattodea; Termopsidae
Source: RefSeq, a predicted model, not a curated record